UGUGUUAACUCAGGUCACCCCUG
Molecule: microRNA, 23 nt
Filed under: Arabidopsis lyrata
Lineage: Eukaryota; Viridiplantae; Streptophyta; Magnoliopsida; Brassicales; Brassicaceae
Description: aly-miR398c-3p
Gene: aly-miR398c-3p
Source: miRBase by way of RNAcentral